Molecule: long non-coding RNA, 1154 nt
Filed under: Homo sapiens (human)
Lineage: Eukaryota; Metazoa; Chordata; Mammalia; Primates; Hominidae
Description: HSALNT0398991
Source: RNAcentral
GUCUCAAAAGAAAGGGAGAAAGGGAGAAAGAGAGAGAGGAAGGGAGGAAGGAAGGAAGGAAGAAAAGAGAAAGAAAGAGUCCCUGAGGAGCAAGCAAUUCCCUCAGCCAAAGAGCUUUUGCUCUCAAGUCUCGUUUGGUCAUGCUAAGCCACAGUUUGGGGACUCCUAGGAGCAGCCAUCACAGGUAACCAGUUCUGCUGGCUCAGGAUGGCCCCUGCUGCCCUGACUCAGAGACACUUCCUGCAAGGCAGACAUCUCAUGCAGAGCAGAGGCCACUGCAGUCAGAAGGAAGGGCCUGGUAGCCUCAGAGGCACAGCCAAGGGGCUGCAACGAUGGAAAGGAGAUAUUCCACAAGUCCAAGAGUGUGACAUGGAAGCACACUCUGGGAUGUGGUGGACUCAAGUGAUCCAUGCAGAUGUGGAUGCUGUCUCUCUUUCUCUGUUCAUAGAGUGUGGCAUGGGUCCUCUCUGGGUGAAAAUAGGUGCCCAGAAUUAAUCACACACUUCCAUUCAAAAUAAACUGUGCCAACUUGCUGAACCACAAAAUGAUUUCCUCGCCAUGGCCCCUAAAUAACUCCGUGAUAAGAACUGUAUGCUAUUGAUGGCUCUGAAGUCCAAAUUUAUUGGCAAAAGCAAAGAACAUGCCUGAACUAGUCAUUUCUGCAGGCGUUUCUCCUUAAGAUGAGUUUGAAGCCAAUUGGUUAUGUGAAGAAUAGCAAUCAGUUCUUUCUCACACUGGAGGAGGAGGAAGCACAAAAGAAAGUUCAAGGGUCAAGCCUCCCAAAAGGCUCUGUUAUAAUCCUAUGUGCUCUUUCAUUGUAUCUAGUGAUGAAUUUGGGUAACUGACACUUUACUCAUUGGCCAUCUAUCCUUGAACUUGAUAAGCAUUUUCAUUUAUGUAAGUUUACUUGUAAUUCUUCCAAAACUUAUCUUCACAUUUCCCAACAAACUAAUUUCAGACAUUUUGUUUUUAUGAUUCUAUUGUGACAGGAACCUCCAUUUCAAUAUACUUGUUGCAGGUAUAGAUUUUGUGCAUUGCUUUGUGGUGUUGAUUUGUCCAUCUUUUGUAUUCUGCCUAGCUUAUUGUAAUCUUGAUUUUUAAAGUUUUCAAUUGGGUUUUUAAAGUAUGUUAAUGUUAAUAAAUGCAUUUUUAGG